Molecule: non-coding RNA, 1280 nt
Organism: Microcebus murinus (gray mouse lemur)
Lineage: Eukaryota; Metazoa; Chordata; Mammalia; Primates; Cheirogaleidae
Source: RefSeq, a predicted model, not a curated record
AGGGUUCUGGCCUAAAUGAUAAGAAAGAAACACGACGCUAAUGAAGUGAGGGCCUCUGGCAUAGCCUCUGCUAAAUGUGGGUGGUGACAGGAAACACGGCAAUGCUGGACCCUGGAGCACAGUGCCAGUGACCUGUCACUCCCACCGCCCUAAGGUCGGCCCCCACCUAGCCAGGAGUUUAGUCAGUUAAUACCGUUCUUCGUGAACAUUCCAAUGCCAAGAAAAUCUGGGUAAGCAGAACAGUGGCCACCACUGGCUGACUUAGCAGCAAGCAGCAAGGCUGAAGCCCACCCCACUCUGUGGUUUGGAACCAAGGAGGAAAGCCAAGAGAAGUCUUUCCACGGAGCUAGGAGCAGCGGACAGUCAUGCCCACGCCACCCUGCUUGCUGCGCCAGUUGUCUUGUAAUGUCUAACGAUUCUUCUGAUGGCGGGACUGGACACAAGGACACUUGAAUAGACGAAAGGCAGAACUCUUUGUUACUUAACUUAAAGCUCCAGAGGAGAGAAGUCUUCCAGAGGUAGAACUUUACUCUAUCACCUAGGUUGGAGUGCAGUGGCAUCAUCAUAGCUCACUUUAACCUUCAACUCCUAGGCUCCAGUGAUCCUCCUGCUUCAGCCUUCCAAACGGAAUGCAGAAUGGCAGUAUUAUCUUUGGAACAAAUUAAGAAGAUAGUAACAAAUAACAGAAGAAUAACUUCUACACAUAUAUUUUUCAAGGGCAAUAGGUUCCUUCCGUUUACGUUCAGUAUUCCCAGAUUGUCUUCCACUUGAUGGAGAGGCUUGUGCUGGCUGGCUCUGCUUUAAGAAAAAUACACAGGAAGAAAUUACUCUAACUAUUCCAAGUCAAUACGUAUCUCAAUACAUGCUCAUCUCUUCAUCUCUACCACUGAAAGCUAAGCCAUCCUCACCUCUUGCUUGGACUACUGGUUUCCGUUUGGACCUGCACGCGUGCUAUGCAUUCACCACAGAGCAGUCUUUUACAAAGGUAAAGUAAAUCAUGUCACUUCCAUGUUUAAUACUUGGCAUAGCUUCCCUACUGCAAUUAGUAUAAAAUUCAAACUCCUACCCUAACCUUCACAGUUCAGUAUGAUAUGGCUUUCUGAACCAAACUGAAUAAUUAAUGUAUAUGUGGAAUGAUCAGCUAUCUAUUAAAGAAGUGUCAGGAAAAUUUCACAAGUAUAUUAAUGAAUUAAUCUUUAGUUCAAAAGUUUUAGAUAACUGAAUUCACAUUUGAAAAAAAAAACAGGCACUUUAAAUAAUACAUGAGGAAGACAAAACAA